RNAcentral lists this ribosomal RNA (497 nucleotides) under uncultured bacterium. RNAcentral's name for it is "bacterial SSU rRNA". It matches the Rfam family "Bacterial small subunit ribosomal RNA", at positions 29 to 509 of the family's 1533-position model. The record is from RNAcentral.
AGUGAACGCUGGCGGCGUGCUUAACACAUGCAAGUCGAGCGAAGUGGUAGCUGUAGCAAUACAGUGUACGCUUAGCGGCAGACGGGUGAGUAACACGUAGGGAACCUUCCUCAUUGCGGGGGAUAGCCAGCCGAAAGGCUGGGUAAUACCGCGUAAGAUCUGUUAGAGGCACCUUUGACAGAUGAAACAUUCGCAAGAAUGGCAAUGUGAGGGCCCUGCGGCCUAUCAGCUAGUUGGUGAGGUAACGGCUCACCAAGGCAACGACGGGUAACCGGCCUGAAAGGGCGAACGGUCACACUGACACUGAGACACGGGUCAGACACCUACGGGUGGCAGCAGUGAGGAAUCUUGGACAAUGGGGGAAACCCUGAUCCAGCGACGCCGCGUGGAGGACGAAGGUCUUCGGAUUGUAAACUCCUUUUGUUCGGGAAUAAGAAAUCUAUGGAAACAUGGAGAGUGAAUGUACCGGAUGAAUAAGCCACGGCUAACUUCGUGCC